AUUCACAGAAAAACAGCUCGUUUAGAGAUCGAGUGUCCGGGUAAACAUCUAAACACUUAAACAUAUAAGCUGCGAUCGCCAGUUGGGGACCGGCUGUUAUCAACCAGCCUCCCCCACCUCCCCUUCCAUUUCGCAGAAGAGUGCGAAAAACCCUAACAAAAGACAACUUGAAUGGUGCCAAGUGGGGAGCGCAGUCGUGUUGCCAUGUUGGAGCCAAAGCCAACGAAGACAGUGAGCUUCUCUCUCCGUAGCCUCUCUUUGCGCACUUGGACUUUCUUCGCAGCUUAAUGGAUAUGGAUAAGAGCCCGCAGAAGACUCUGCCACAAAGGUCACUCGCUUAGAAGGCAGCUUUCGAAGGCAGCACGUGUCCGGGCCAAUGCAGUUGUUAAAUUAACAAUGUUACUUGACAUUCCCAAGGGUCCCGGAUUCAGAUAACCUUCAAUUGGUCUUGAUUUACUUGCCUUAACUGGGCCACACACACGAAACGGAUUGCAAUUUCACUUGGAGCUGAAAAA
Molecule: small RNA, 515 nt
Filed under: Drosophila yakuba
Lineage: Eukaryota; Metazoa; Arthropoda; Insecta; Diptera; Drosophilidae
Description: GE27425
Source: RNAcentral